GACGAACGCUGGCGGCGUGCCUAACACAUGCAAGUCGAGCGAAUGAAGUUCCUUCGGGAAUGGAUUUAGCGGCGGACGGGUGAGUAACACGUGGGCAACCUGCCUCAUAGAGGGGAAUAGCCUUCCGAAAGGGAGAUUAAUACCGCAUAAGAUUGUAGUAUCGCAUGAUACAGCAAUUAAAGGAGCAAUCCGCUAUGAGAUGGGCCCCGCGGCGCAUUAGCUAGUUGGUGAGGUAACGGCUCACCAAGGCGACGAUGCGUAGCCGACCUGAGAGGGUGAUCGGCCACAUUGGGACUGAGACACGGCCCAGACUCCUACGGGUGGCAG
Molecule: ribosomal RNA, 327 nt
Filed under: uncultured Bacillota bacterium
Lineage: Bacteria; Bacillati; Bacillota
Description: bacterial SSU rRNA
Rfam family: Bacterial small subunit ribosomal RNA
Source: RNAcentral